Molecule: ribosomal RNA, 265 nt
Filed under: uncultured archaeon
Lineage: Archaea
Description: partial 16S ribosomal RNA
Rfam family: Archaeal small subunit ribosomal RNA
Source: RNAcentral
AGUCACUGACAUUAGAUACCCCGGUAGUCCCAGCCGUAAACUAUGCGCGUUAGGUGUAUCGGUGACCACGAGUUACCGAGGUGCCGAAGGGAAACCGUGAAACGUGCCGCCUGGGAAGUACGGUCGCAAGGCUGAAACUUAAAGGAAUUGGCGGGGGAGCACAACAACGGGUGGAGCCUGCGGUUUAAUUGGACUCAACGCCGGACAACUCACCGGGGACGACAGCAAUAUGUAGGCCAGGCUGAAGACCUUGCCUGAAUCGCUG